Rattus rattus (black rat) is the source of this 1526-nucleotide RNA transcript. It is a transcript of the gene named LysM domain containing 1, with no coding region annotated. The transcript is spliced from 4 exons. Lineage: Eukaryota; Metazoa; Chordata; Mammalia; Rodentia; Muridae. The record is from RefSeq and is a predicted model, not a curated record.
GAAGAGAGAAGAGAAAAAGAAUUUUCUGAAUAUCCAUUCUCUGGGUUCAGCCGUCACUGUUGGUCACUUAGCUGGGCUUUCCUCAGUUGUGACCCUAGAUCUUGGCAGUGAGGAGAUGGCUUCGCCCUCUAGACAGCCUCCCCUCGGGGGAUCAGGGCUGCUACGUGGGAGCCGUGCUCGUUCUUAUGGAAGCCUGGUACAAUCAUCCUGCUCCCCAGUGAGGGAAAGACGCCUGGAGCAUCAAUUGGAGCCUGGAGACACCCUGGCUGGAUUAGCACUCAAAUAUGGGGUGACGAUGGAGCAGAUUAAACGUACAAACCGCCUUUAUACUAACGACUCCAUCUUCCUGAAGAAAACGCUCUACAUCCCCAUCCUGACAGAGCCCAGAGACCUGUUUAAUGGUUUAGAUUCUGAGGAGGAGGAAAAUGAUGGAGAGGAAGAGGUUCGCCCGAGUAAGGAUGAGAUUGGUUCAUCUUCAGGGAAGAGGAAGAAUCAAGGGUCAGCCUCUAGUCGGCCCAAUGGCACAGGCCUCCCACCUCACCAGGGAACCUCCACACCCAGCCAUGACCUUUCUGCCUCUGAUUUCCUUAAGAAGCUUGACUCACAGAUCAGCCUGUCGAAGAAGGCUGCUGCCCAGAAGCUGAGGAAAGGGGAAAGUGGGGUACCUGAGGAGGAUACAGGUCUCUACCCCAGCUCCCCUCGGAUGCAGCAGCGAGCAGUCCUGGGUCCUGUGCCACUCACCCGGACGUCUCGAACCCAGACACUGCGGGACCAGGAAGAUGAAAUUUUCAAACUCUGAUGUCCCCAGAACUGAUGAGCGCAGCAGAAUGUUUAAGGAACAGCUCAAGGAGGAGGAGUCUGAGGAUGUGGCCAUGACCGCAAUGAGGAGCAACCUCACCCUCUCCCUCAAAUGAAAACAGGAGUCCUCGCAGAGGGAGGAGAGCCAGGGGGCUCUCUCCCGCAACUCAAUCACUCCAAUGGGAGCCUGCCAUCUUGAUUUGUUUCUGCCUUGCCCUGCAGACGGUCCUGCCCUCCUCAGUGGAGGUAAUUGUCCACAGGAGCCCGCUUUCCUUCCCGACUUGCCUUCUUCUUACCCAGCUCUCUGUUGCCCCGAUAUCUCCAACUAGGUUCCCAGUCCUCUCAGGGUAGCUAUGUCACUCGCUCUUUUUGUCCCAGCCUCUACAUGAUCCCCAUGAACCUCUAGCCUAGCUAAGCUUUCACUUUGGGUCACCGUACUCCCAUGGCCGAAGAUACUUUAGAUCUGUAAAUCUCUACUCAUACCCCAUGUGCACCUCCAUGCCUCAGCUCUAGGCUCAACCCCCAUCCCAACCCCGGUCUCCCUCUCAGAUAACCUUGCCCAUCCACUGAAUACACUAAAAUGGUUCUGGGGAGAGAGAGGGAGACACAAGAAUUCUACAAGCGAGAGUUUCACAAAACAGAAAGAAAGGUGAGGGUGAAAAGGUUGGGCUAUCUCAUCAGUGUCUCCCCGAAACCCGCCCCCUGCCAUUGCCAGUCUCACCUGCUGU